This 253-nucleotide ribosomal RNA is filed under the name uncultured bacterium. RNAcentral describes it as "partial 16S ribosomal RNA". It matches the Rfam family "Bacterial small subunit ribosomal RNA", at positions 524 to 776 of the family's 1533-position model. The record is from RNAcentral.
UACGGGGGGGGCAAGCGUUGUUCGGAUUUACUGGGCGUAAAGGGCUCGUAGGUGGCCAACUAAGUCAGACGUGAAAUCCCUCGGCUUAACCGGGGAACUGCGUCUGAUACUGGAUGGCUUGAGUUCGGGAGAGGGAUGCGGAAUUCCAGGUGUAGCGGUGAAAUGCGUAGAUAUCUGGAGGAACACCGGUGGCGAAGGCGGCAUCCUGGACCGACACUGACACUGAGGAGCGAAAGCCAGGGGAGCGAACGGG